UCUGUACGAUCACCGCAGUUAAGCAACGUUGAGCCUGGUCAGUACCUAGAUGGGUAACUGUUUGGGAAUACCAGGUGCUGUAA
Non-coding RNA from Acanthosepion pharaonis, 83 nucleotides. The record is from the annotation of a GenBank genome assembly. Lineage: Eukaryota; Metazoa; Mollusca; Cephalopoda; Sepiida; Sepiidae.